Molecule: ribosomal RNA, 1581 nt
Filed under: Periweissella cryptocerci
Lineage: Bacteria; Bacillati; Bacillota; Bacilli; Lactobacillales; Lactobacillaceae
Description: bacterial SSU rRNA
Rfam family: Bacterial small subunit ribosomal RNA
Source: RNAcentral
UAAAUUGAGAGUUUGAUCCUGGCUCAGGAUGAACGCUGGCGGCGUGCCUAAUACAUGCAAGUCGAACGGACUGUGGUGAUUAUGAUCGAAGAGCUUGCUCGGAGAGAUUAAUCACAAUGCAGUCAGUGGCGAACGGGUGAGUAACACGUGGGAAACCUACCUCUUAGCAGGGGAUAACAUUUGGAAACAGAUGCUAAUACCGUAUAACAAUUAGAACCGCAUGGUUCAAGUUUAAAAGAUGGUUCUGCUAUCACUAAGAGAUGGUCCCGCGGCGUAUUAGCUAGAUGGUGAGGUAAUGGCUCACCAUGGCAAUGAUACGUAGCCGAGUUGAGAGACUGAUCGGCCACAUUGGGACUGAGACACGGCCCAAACUCCUACGGGAGGCAGCAGUAGGGAAUCUUCCACAAUGGACGAAAGUCUGAUGGAGCAACGCCGCGUGUGUGAUGAAGGCUUUCGGGUCGUAAAACACUGUUAUAAGAGAAGAACGUCAGUGAGAGUAACUGUUCAUUGAGUGACGGUAUCUUAUCAGAAAGGGACGGCUAAAUACGUGCCAGCAGCCGCGGUAAUACGUAUGUCCCAAGCGUUAUCCGGAUUUAUUGGGCGUAAAGCGAGCGCAGGCGGUUAUUUAAGUCUGAUGUGAAAGCCUACGGCUCAACCGUAGAAUUGCAUCGGAAACUGGAUAACUUGAGUGCAGUAGAGGAGAGUGGAACUCCAUGUGUAGCGGUGAAAUGCGUAGAUAUAUGGAAGAACACCAGUGGCGAAGGCGGCUCUCUGGACUGUAACUGACGCUGAGGCUCGAAAGUGUGGGUAGCAAACGGGAUUAGAUACCCCGGUAGUCCACACCGUAAACGAUGAAUGCUAGUUGUUAGAGGGUUUCCGCCCUUUAGUGACGCAGCUAACGCAUUAAGCAUUCCGCCUGGGGAGUACGACCGCAAGGUUGAAACUCAAAGGAAUUGACGGGGGCCCGCACAAGCGGUGGAGCAUGUGGUUUAAUUCGAAGCAACGCGAAGAACCUUACCAGGUCUUGACAUCCCUUGACACUCCUAGAGAUAGGACGUUCCCUUCGGGGACAAGGUGACAGGUGGUGCAUGGUUGUCGUCAGCUCGUGUCGUGAGAUGUUGGGUUAAGUCCCGCAACGAGCGCAACCCUUAUUACUAGUUGCCAGCAUUAAGUUGGGCACUCUAGUGAGACUGCCGGUGACAAACCGGAGGAAGGUGGGGAUGACGUCAAAUCAUCAUGCCCCUUAUGACCUGGGCUACACACGUGCUACAAUGGAUGGUACAACGAGUCGCAAAGUCGCGAGGCUAAGCUAAUCUCUUAAAAGCCAUUCUCAGUCGGAUUGUAAGUCUGCAACUCGACUACAUGAAGUCGGAAUCGCUAGUAAUCGCGGAUCAGCACGCCGCGGUGAAUACGUUCCCGGGCCUUGUACACACGCCCGUCACACCAUGAGAGUUUGUAAACAACCCAAAGUCGUGGGUAACCUUCGGAGCCAGCCGCCUAAGGUGGGAUAGAUGAUUAGGGUGAAGUCGUAACAAGGUAGCCGUAGGAGAACCUGCGGCUGGAUCACCUCCUUUCUAAGGA